GCGGCAGCGCGGGGGCAACCCUGGCGGCGAGCGGCGAACGGGUGAGUAAUACAUCGGAACAUGUCCAGUUGUGGGGGAUAGCCCGGCGAAAGCCGGAUUAAUACCGCAUGAGCUCUGGCGAGGAAAGCGGGGGACCGAAAGGCCUCGCGCGACUGGGUUGGCCGAUGUCCGAUUAGCUAGUUGGCGGGGUAAGAGCCCACCAAGGCGAUGAUCGGUAGCUGGUCUGAGAGGAUGAUCAGCCACACUGGGACUGAGACACGGCCCAGACUCCUACGGGAGGCAGCAGUGGGGAAUUUUGGACAAUGGGGGCAACCCUGAUCCAGCCAUUCCGCGUGAGUGAAGAAGGCCUUCGGGUUGUAAAGCUCUUUUGUCCGGAGCGAAACGGUGGCGGUGAACAUCCGCCACUACUGACGGUACCGGAAGAAUAAGCACCGGCUAACUACGUGCCAGCAGCCGCGGUAAUACGUAGGGUGCGAGCGUUAAUCGGAAUUACUGGGCGUAAAGCGUGCGCAGGCGGGCUUUUAAGCCAGACGUGAAAUCCCCGGGCUUAACCUGGGAAUGGCGUUUGGGACUGGGAGUCUGGAGUGCGGCAGAGGAGACUGGAAUUCCUGGUGUAGCAGUGAAAUGCGUAGAUAUCAGGAGGAACACCGAUGGCGAAGGCAGGUCUCUGGGCUGACACUGACGCUCAUGCACGAAAGCGUGGGGAGCAAACAGGAUUAGGUACCCUGGUAGUCCACGCCCUAAACGAUGUCGACUGGUUGUUGGGGGUUUGACACUCUCAGUAACGAAGCUAACGCGUGAAGUCGACCGCCUGGGGAGUACGGCCGCAAGGUUAAAACUCAAAGGAAUUGACGGGGACCCGCACAAGCGGUGGAUUAUGUGGAUUAAUUCGAUGCAACGCGAAAACCUUACCUACCCUUGACAUGUCC
Molecule: ribosomal RNA, 929 nt
Filed under: uncultured Burkholderiales bacterium
Lineage: Bacteria; Pseudomonadati; Pseudomonadota; Betaproteobacteria; Burkholderiales
Description: bacterial SSU rRNA
Rfam family: Bacterial small subunit ribosomal RNA
Source: RNAcentral